CCUACGGGAGGCAGCAGUGGGGAAUAUUGCACAAUGGGGGAAACCCUGAUGCAGCGACGCCGCGUGAGUGAAGAAGUAAUUCGUUAUGUAACGCUCUAUCAGCAGGGAAGAAAAUGACGGUACCUGAGUAAGAAGCCCCGGCUAACUACGUGCCAGCAGCAGCGGUAAUAAGUAGGGGGCAAGCGUUAUCCGGAUUUACUGGGUGUAAAGGGAGCGUAGACGGCAGUGCAAGUCUGGAGUGAAAGGCGGGGGCUCAACCCCCGGACUGCUCUGGAAACUGUACGGCUGGAGUGCAGGAGAGGUAAGUGGAAUUCCUAGUGUAGCGGUGAAAUGCGUAGAUAUUAGGAGGAACACCAGUGGCGAAGGCGGCUUACUGGACUGUAACUGACGUUGAGGCUCGAAAGCGUGGGGAGCAAACAGGAUUAGAUACCCCGGUAGUC
RNAcentral lists this ribosomal RNA (440 nucleotides) under uncultured bacterium. RNAcentral describes it as "partial 16S ribosomal RNA". It matches the Rfam family "Bacterial small subunit ribosomal RNA", at positions 338 to 795 of the family's 1533-position model. The record is from RNAcentral.